AGCGAACGCUGGCGGCAGGCUUAACACAUGCAAGUCGAGCGGGCGUAGCAAUACGUCAGCGGCAGACGGGUGAGUAACGCGUGGGAACAUACCUUUUGGUUCGGAACAACACAGGGAAACUUGUGCUAAUACCGGAUAAGCCCUUACGGGGAAAGAUUUAUCGCCGAAAGAUUGGCCCGCGUCUGAUUAGCUAGUUGGUGAGGUAAUGGCUCACCAAGGCGACGAUCAGUAGCUGGCUGAGAGGAUGAUCAGCCACAUUGGGACUGAGACACGGCCCAAACUCCUACGGGAGGCAGCAGUGGGGAAUAUUGGACAAUGGGCGCAAGCCUGAUCCAGCCAUGCCGCGUGAGUGAUGAAGGCCCUAGGGUUGUAAAGCUC
Molecule: ribosomal RNA, 378 nt
Filed under: uncultured bacterium
Lineage: Bacteria
Description: bacterial SSU rRNA
Rfam family: Bacterial small subunit ribosomal RNA
Source: RNAcentral